This 323-nucleotide ribosomal RNA is filed under the name uncultured Bacillota bacterium. Its description in RNAcentral is "bacterial SSU rRNA". It matches the Rfam family "Bacterial small subunit ribosomal RNA", at positions 28 to 351 of the family's 1533-position model. Lineage: Bacteria; Bacillati; Bacillota. The record is from RNAcentral.
GACGAACGCUGGCGGCGUGCCUAACACAUGCAAGUCGAGCGGAGAUCAUAGCAAUAUGAUCUUAGCGGCGGACGGGUGAGUAACGCGUGGGCAACCUACCUUAGACUGGGGGAUAACACAGGGAAACUUGUGCUAAUACCGCAUAACAUGGUGAGAGGACAUCCUCUUAUCAUCAAAGGAGCAAUCCGGUUUUUAGAUGGGCCCGCGUCCGAUUAGCUAGUUGGUGGUGUAACGGACCACCAAGGCGACGAUCGGUAGCCGAACUGAGAGGUUGAUCGGCCACAUUGGGACUGAGACACGGCCCAGACUCCUACGGGAGGCUG